UCCAAGUUACAUCUCAAAUCCCAACUUAACCCAUUAUAUUUCCAAUUCUAAAAAUCCCAAAUUUCCUUUCAAACUUAGUCACGUUGCAUUCACAAAUUUUCCAAGACAUUCAAAUUUAAAUCAUUUUUACAACACACUUCAUGUUCAACCAAGUUACAAUGGUAACUUCCCAUUACAUUCAUGACCAUUUCCAAAUGCAUUUAUCAUAUGAUACAUCUCAUAACAAACCAUCCAUACAUGGUAAGACAAGUGAGAGUUAGACUUAAACUUUGUUCUUCAUUACAUAAGCACGACCAUAAGUGAAUCAUCUCAUGAAACAUUCUCAUUUUACACACAUAAAACCAUUCUACAUAAACUAAUCCAUCUCCAGAUGACUAUUACAUCAUUACAUGCUACAUGAUUCACAUGUUACAUAGCUUGUGUCGAAAGGAAAAAGAAAAAUCUGGGAGUUUUGUAGACCUUUCCAUGAUGCUUCCACAAUCUAUAUGCUUGGACGAACUCACUUUGUGGCAUGUGCUUCCAUUAGGUCAUUUUGGGCCUACAAUCGGCAUUCACAAAAUCAGUCCAUGACAGAGCAGUAACAGCAGAAAAAGGAAGAAAAUGGAAGCUGCUAAGUUAAAGCAAAUCAUGAUUCCUGAAGCCAGAAUUUGACAAAGGGCAUAUCACACAAAGCCAAACCAAUAAGCUUCACAAAGCCACAAAGUACAAAGCCACACCAGCUGCUAUGUACCAAGAGCGCCAAAAAAGAAACAGAAAAAUGAAUUGAAAGCUGCCAAAGCUACAAACUAAAACAGAGUUGUAGCUUCAAGACGCUACACAAGCUGCUACAUCCAAAACUCACAAGCCAUGACUUUACCGCAGCAGAACCCCUUUACAAAACCUGCACAAAUUCAAAACAAAUAAUUCUAAGAAAAUAAUCACAACACCUAUAACCGAAUGAGAAUUAACCAAAGAGAACGGAACCGUCAAAACAGAAAUUUCCAAGGUUACAACAAAUAUUCUGUACUGAUUCUUACAAAUUUCAAGGACUUGCAACAUAUUUUCUUCCAAAAAAAUACUGAUAUGGAAGAACUAACCUUUGUUCGCUUCCUUCACUCACAUAACUUUCACAACCUCCCAUAACCGCCUCAUAACAGAAUAACUAACUCCACAGGAUAGAAAUCCAACUUCAAACACCUUCAGAACCUAUUUUCCUCAUUCUCUAACUGUCUUCAACCAACCUAAACUCUAACAGAAUUCAACAAACUCUAACUACUUCCAACUGUCAUAACCAACCAUCUCUCUAACCUUACUCUCCUAUAAGAACCAUCCUCCAUCUUCAAUUCAAGCUCUCCAUCAUCUUUCCCAUAAUUCAACAAUUCACCAAUCAUACACCCUCUC
Molecule: long non-coding RNA, 1380 nt
Filed under: Lathyrus oleraceus (garden pea)
Lineage: Eukaryota; Viridiplantae; Streptophyta; Magnoliopsida; Fabales; Fabaceae
Description: Pisum sativum (pea) long non-coding RNA (PSAT_LNC042189)
Source: RNAcentral